AUUGAACGCUGGCGGCAUGCCUUACACAUGCAAGUCGAACGGUAACGGGCCUUCGGGUGCCGACGAGUGGCGAACGGGUGAGUAAUGCAUCGGAACGUACCUUUCAGUGGGGGAUAACGUAGCGAAAGUUACGCUAAUACCGCAUAUUCUGUGAGCAGGAAAGCAGGGGAUCGCAAGACCUUGCGCUGAUUGAGCGGCCGAUGUCAGAUUAGCUAGUUGGUGAGGUAAAGGCUCACCAAGGCGACGAUCUGUAGCGGGUCUGAGAGGAUGAUCCGCCACACUGGAACUGAGACACGGUCCAGACUCCUACGGGAGGCAGCAGUGGGGAAUUUUGGACAAUGGGGGCAACCCUGAUCCAGCCGUGCCGCGUGAGUGAAGAAGGCC
Molecule: ribosomal RNA, 384 nt
Filed under: uncultured bacterium
Lineage: Bacteria
Description: bacterial SSU rRNA
Rfam family: Bacterial small subunit ribosomal RNA
Source: RNAcentral